AGGCAUUUCCAAGGAGACGCGGGCGCACUGCCCCUCCCUUGCUUCCUCCUCUUCCCUCCUUCCUCUCCUAGUUUCUUCCCUCCCUUCCCGCCCUACUCCUUCCCUCCCUUCCCACCCUACUCCUUUCGGCUGCUCUGGUGCCCACCCCCAGUGCCUCGAGGUCGAGGAGAGCUCCUCGGCCCCGCAGGACGGGGAGGAUUCUGUACAGAUGAGCAUAACUUAUGUAAACAGGUUACCCAGCUGGGAGAGAGGACAUCUGCUGGCUGGUGUGGCGUCCAGCACUGAUGUGUCUACCUUCUCUGAAGGUGACUGCAAGGAGCCUGACAAGUGCUGCUGGAGACACAAGCAGUGCACUGGGCACAUCAUCUACCCUUUCGCCUCUGACUGUGUCCGCCACAGCCUGCACCUACACUCUGUCAACCACUGCAACUGUAAUUCUAGCUUUGAAUUGGUGCUGCCAGCCCAGUCCCAGCUCUGCACACCUUGCUCUGCUCUAAGAGAAAUGGGGAGGAGGUCUGUUGGCCUGA
This 527-nucleotide long non-coding RNA is filed under the name Homo sapiens (human). Its description in RNAcentral is "non-protein coding lnc-RAB34-1:2". The record is from RNAcentral. Lineage: Eukaryota; Metazoa; Chordata; Mammalia; Primates; Hominidae.